This 229-nucleotide ribosomal RNA is filed under the name uncultured bacterium. Its description in RNAcentral is "partial 16S ribosomal RNA". It matches the Rfam family "Bacterial small subunit ribosomal RNA", at positions 568 to 796 of the family's 1533-position model. The record is from RNAcentral.
UGCGUAGGCGGAAUAUUAAGUCAGUGGUGAAAUCCUGCGGCUCAACCGUAGAACUGCCAUUGAUACUGAUAUUCUUGAAUGUAGUUGAGGUAGGCGGAAUGUGCAAUGUAGCGGUGAAAUGCUUAGAUAUUACACAGAACACCGAUUGCGAAGGCAGCUUACUAAACUAUGAUUGACGCUGAGGCACGAAAGCGUGGGGAGCGAACAGGAUUAGAUACCCUGGUAGUCC